RNAcentral lists this long non-coding RNA (482 nucleotides) under Equus caballus (horse). RNAcentral's name for it is "lncRNA (ENSECAG00000035778.2)". The record is from RNAcentral. Lineage: Eukaryota; Metazoa; Chordata; Mammalia; Perissodactyla; Equidae.
GCCUUGUCCACCCUCAGGGCUCCCCUUCUUCUGCCCAUCUUUAUUCUUUCUCCUUGUCUUCCUUUAGCUUCUUCCCCAAGCCUCUGGCAGAGACCAAGCUUAGUGCCAGGGUCAGGGAGAAGGCACAAUUUUCUUUUGGGGGAGACUGGGUGGUGUGGAGGGGAUGGGAAAUACAGCGUGGAGGUCAAGAGCAAUGUCUGCUUUCUAGCCAUGUGACCUUGAGCUUCAGUUUCUUCCUCAGGCUGUUGUGAGGAUUCAAAGCUAUUUACAUCACGCUCAGGGCGUCUGCAUGGCACACGGGCCUGUGGUCCAUCUUUCAGUAUCAGAGAAUACGUGACUGUUGGAAGCUUGUUUGCGCAGAAGCACUAGACUGAGCCCGAGGAGGGUGGGGGCUGAGACUGCCUUGUGGACGUCCAUCAUUCCCGAGAGCCUGGCACGUGCGAGUAAAUCAGUGACCAUUUGAAUAAAAGGGUGAAUAGGUG